GACGAACGCUGGCGGCGUGCUUAACACAUGCAAGUCGAACGGAAAGGCCCGGCUUUUGUGGGGUGCUCGAGUGGCGAACGGGUGAGUAACACGUGAGUAACCUGCCCUUGACGUUGGGAUAACUUCAGGAAACUGGGGCUAAUACCGGAUAGGAUCUCCUGCUGCAUGGUGGGGGUUGGAAAGUUUCGGCGGUUGGGGGUGGACUCGCGGCUUAUCAGCUUGUUGGUGGGGUAGUGGCUUACCAAGGCUUGGACGGGUAGCCGGCCUGGGAGGGGGACCGGACACAUUGGGACUGAGAUACGGCCCAGACCCCUACGGGACGCAGCAGAGGGGAAUAUUGCACAAUGGGCGGAAGCCUGAUGCAGCAACGCCGCGUGGGGGAUGACGGCAUUCGGGUUGUAAACCGCUUUCGCCUGUGACGAAGCGUGAGUGACGGUAAUGGGUGAAGAAGCACCGGCUAACUACGUG
Molecule: ribosomal RNA, 468 nt
Filed under: uncultured bacterium
Lineage: Bacteria
Description: partial 16S ribosomal RNA
Rfam family: Bacterial small subunit ribosomal RNA
Source: RNAcentral